This is a long non-coding RNA of Tupaia belangeri chinensis (Chinese tree shrew), 3606 nucleotides long. RefSeq lists it as uncharacterized. The record is from RefSeq and is a predicted model, not a curated record. The transcript has 3 exons. Lineage: Eukaryota; Metazoa; Chordata; Mammalia; Scandentia; Tupaiidae.
UGGGGGGCCCGGGCCCGCGUCUCCUCUCCUCUCUCCGCCUCUCCCGUUUCCUCCUUCCUGCUGCUGCUUCUUUUAAAGCGGAUUCUUUGGCCACAAAUAGCACCUCGGCUGCCCCCCUUCAGCGUCUCCCUCCCCUUCUUCUUUUCUUCCCCCCAAAAGUGAAGCACACGCGAGGAUCCUCGUAGAAUCUCCAGCAAGUGGGAAAAGUCAGCAGCUGCAAACCGCCAUUGGCAACUGGCCCAUCGGAGGGUAUUGGAAACUUGGUCAGAAAGGUUAAAUAAAGUAAAGCCAGGGCCUGCAGUCUACUGGGUGGUUUGUUCCGUGAUCAGGCCAAUACACACAGUAUUUACUCCUGCAGACGCCAGCAAAGAGCAAAGCCUCAGAGUGAAACACAGGAAGAAUUUCUGUUCCUCCGCAAGCUCCCAGGCUGCCUGUCUUUUUGAUGACUCAAGGAGCUACAAAGCUGAGCAGAUGUGAUGGACACCUGCCCUCUGUGCUCUAACUACCCAUCCAGAAAUCUGCCCAAGAUGUAAACUUUGACUUGACUUUCUCAGUGCCACGUUGUCCCAUAAACUGGUGAUCCCACUUUCUCAUCGAAAGUUGGAUGUGAGAAGAAGAGUAAGUUCUAAAAGCUGAAAUAGUCCUCGGUUGUUUCCUUCUGUGGUGAGACACACAUCCCUCUGCCUGCAAGCCUUAUUGAAGAAGAACCCAGCUGAGAAGCCCGAUUGCUUUCUGAGAGUUAGUCAAAGAACUGUACCUCACUGCUAAGAAGUUAGACCUGCUUGCUAGAGAACUUAGUGGUGAUUGGUAACAAAGCAAGCAAUAAGCAGGCGGAAAAGGAACCCAGAAAUCAGAACAGACCAGUACAAAUAAAUGACCGAAUCUUGACUUUUCUGACACCAUGAAGUCCUAGAUGUUUCUGUCUCCACUGCAACCUAGAACAAAACAUCCCAGAGGAAAAAGUAGGAAUGGGGUGAAGUGAUGGAGAAUUAUUUAGGGUGAUUCUGUGGAGGAAGCUGCGGUACAGCAAAUAGAAUAACUAAACAUUCCCUGCAUAUCCAAGAGGUGGUGAGAGCAAGACUGCUGUUUGCUACACAGAUUAGUACAGUCCGAGCUGAUUUGAUACAAAGCAUCAGCCUGAUGCAGCAUCUGUGACAACCUCUGGGUUUGUUCAUCGUUUGGAAAUUUUAAAUUAGAUUUAAAACACACACACACACAUGCAUACAAAAACAGAGAUGGGUUAAGCAUUUGUUGAACCCACUGAACCCACUUCAUUUUAAGAGGUAAGGAAACUGAGUCCCUGAGAGUUUAAGGUCAUUCAGCUAUUCGGUGGCAGAAGCAGGACAAGAACCCAAAUACCACAACCUAGAGUCCCCUAGCUCAUCAAAUAUUCAUCAUUCCCUUCAAGUUCUGGAUCAAAGAAGUCGUUAUUCCAACUUAUCAAUGAGAAAUAAAUAUAGAAUAUUUAAAAACUAUAAAUACUUGCAUGAAGGAAAAUGAAGCAAUAGGACUAGAUAUUUUUUUAGUUCCUUUCCAGCUCUUCCAUUCUGUGCUGAAUAGCACACAGGAGCUUUGCUAUAGCACAACCGCUCUAGUGCAUAAUUCAGCAUAUGAUGAGUACGAGUCUGAUUUGGACCCCAUCCAAGGGAGUUAGUUCCUAGAAGUACUUGAAAGAUUUUAUUCUCCUUUAUCAUGAAGCAUCCUGAAAGAAGACUGAAAUAAUAAUGAUGAUAAUAGUGGCCAAUUGUUACACUUGUAUUAUGCAGUACACAUCAGGCUAUGUAUGUUAUAAUCCACUGGCUUUCAAAAGGUACAUCAUGACCUUCCAUGGGUCAGAGACGUUUUUGUUUAAUUUUGCCACAUGCGCUUGCCAGAGACAGGGUGGGGAGGGGAUGGUCAAGUUACAACCCCCUCUUCACUUGUCCUUUCGGGAUUUGGGGCACACAUACACACACACCCGUGUGUUUUUCUUGCCACCAGGUUCUGGAUUUGAACCAUGUAUUUGGCCAUGAAGAAUCCAGUCAUCUAAAUCACUAUGCCACUGACUGGCCUAGAACAUUUUAAAUCAAAAGAAAAUAGAAUACAUGACAUUUACAAAGUAUUAUUUUGUUAAGCUUAUGUUUUAAUCAUGUGACUAGUGAUUAAAAGAAAAAGUCAGAAAGCCACUGCCUGGUCUCCAAUGUUAACAACUACCUUGCUGUUUAAGUAGUAGUAGCCAUGGUGUAAGUGAGGAGACAGGGUCAAAAAUGAUAAGAAGUCUGGCCAAGCUGACGUCACUAGGAAGUGACCAGCUAGAAUGUUGAACCUAGAUCUGCUUGACUUCAAACUCUGUUUUUACUUCUAAAAUGAUGAUAAAUUAUUAACCAAAGUGAGAAAUAAAUUGUUGCUUCCUUUGUGAGAACUUCAAGAGUUUUUAUUAAAUCCAGCCAGAAUGAAGAAACACAGCAUCGAUUCAAGUGACAUGUUCUAAAGACAGCAGUUUCAUAAGGCACUGAAACUCAUACCUGAGACCUUUUCCUACAGGUGCAAGGUUGUGUCUAAUACACUUUAUUAAGUCAAUGCUAAAUGGGGAAAUAAGAUAAUGAUUAAUGGCUUUAAUCUUCAAAUAACUUAAAUAUUCAUUCUAUGAAUGUGAAAACAUUUAAGUGAGCUUUUUCAAUUUAAUUCAUAUAGCAUUUCUCAGUAGCUUGCUUUUUCCAAACACAGAACUGACACAUCCAAAAGAUAAAAGAAAUGUAAGACAGUACCUAAACCAAACAUUGUCUUAGUUCAUUUGGGGACACAAGAUGCACACAUAUAAAGUGAUCAGAUAACACUACAAUUCCACCGCAACUGUGAAGAAGAAAGAAAGACAGUGAUGGCCGUGCUAAAUUUUUUGAUCCAGAUAGUCCUAGGGAUUCUACCAGUAACACUGCAAUUCAGGUGUCAUCAUUCACACUCUUCAGAUUGAAAAGCUCCAACUCAGAAUCAGGUAAUGAUUGAAAUGAGUGUCGAAUCUUAGUCUUUCUGAUUCCACUACCACUGAAAGGCUCUUUGCAAACAGGUGUACUUCCAGUAGACAAGGAGAUUUUGAGACCUGCUUUGCAAACACACUUUUCUCAACAUGAGAGAAAUGCACAUUUUUUUUUCUCUAUGACAGCAUCUCUUGUUGUCAGGCAGCAAUGUCCUCCUUAAGAAAAGAAAUUUGUAUCUUUCUCUCAAGAAAAGGUAGACCCUCUCCCCUGACUGCCUGGUUUGGCUACUGCAUUUCACCCUCACCUGCAGUGAAUAGAGGACGUUAUGGUACGAUGCUAUUUUCCAUUGGCUCUGCUACUGGAGAUUACAGCAUGUGACUGUGACAAAUGGAUAUUCCCAUUAAAUUCUUUAGUAGAGUGGGGCAUUCCAUUAACCAUUGGCACUAUCCCAACCCAAGUGAAACAUUGGGUCAUUUUUUUUCUUGUGAGCAAGAAGUGAAGAGGGAAAACAAAGGAUAUACUCUAAUUACCUUUCCUGAGUUUUGGGGGUUUUUUUGGUGCAUGCAUUAUGAUAGUCAUAUAUUACAAUUAUUUAUAAUUAAUAUAUGACAAGCUGUCAGCUAAAAUUUAACAGGUGAUUUGUCAAGAAGCU